RNAcentral lists this ribosomal RNA (433 nucleotides) under uncultured bacterium. Its description in RNAcentral is "partial 16S ribosomal RNA". It matches the Rfam family "Bacterial small subunit ribosomal RNA", at positions 29 to 507 of the family's 1533-position model. The record is from RNAcentral.
AACGAACGCUGGCGGCAGGCUUAACACAUGCAAGUCGAGCGAGACCUUCGGGUCUAGCGGCGGACGGGUGAGUAACGCGUGGGAACGUGCCCUUCUCUACGGAAUAGCCCCGGGAAACUGGGAGUAAUACCGUAUACGCCCUUUGGGGGAAAGAUUUAUCGGAGAAGGAUCGGCCCGCGUUGGAUUAGGUAGUUGGUGGGGUAAUGGCCCACCAAGCCGACGACCCAUAGCUGGUUUGAGAGGAUGAUCAGCCACACUGGGACUGAGACACGGCCCAGACUCCUACGGGAGGCAGCAGUGGGGAAUCUUAGACAAUGGGGGCAACCCUGAUCUAGCCAUGCCGCGUGAGUGAUGAAGGCCUUAGGGUUGUAAAGCUCUUUCAGCUGGGAAGAUAAUGACGGUACCAGCAGAAGAAGCCCCGGCUAACUCCGUG